This 1268-nucleotide long non-coding RNA is filed under the name Capsicum annuum. RNAcentral describes it as "long non-coding RNA (CANN_LNC000021)". Lineage: Eukaryota; Viridiplantae; Streptophyta; Magnoliopsida; Solanales; Solanaceae. The record is from RNAcentral.
UCAGAGUCGUCACUUGACAUAAUCUGGUGUAUCAAGUCACCUUUGAAAGGUCAUUUUCAAACUGAUAAGGAAUUCUGUUGACUGAAGGGAAGGUGUUAGACAUUCCUCGGUCCCGUGGUUGACCACGAUCGCUUGGUGGAGCAUAGCAACUAAUUUGACACUGCGAACGUAUAAAUCACACAAAAAACACGUAAAAAUAAUCAAACAAACAAACAAAACGAAUUAAAAAUAUAAUGUCCGGUCCAAUUAUACAGUCCCGAAUAAUGAAAAAUGCAAAAAUGUAAACCUAUUAUAUUUCAAACUGUCCCUAAACUACUUUUGAAUUAAACUCUAUCCGACGUUUCGUGCCUUAAUCAUGCGUUAUCUUUAAGUCCAUGAUACUUUGGAGCAUUCCCCAACAAAUGAACACAAAUACCUCUGAGCAUUCCCAGCCAAAUGAAUACCUCAUAGAUAACUAGAAAAACGUUCAAAAUAUACAUUCAAACAAUCAAUGCAUUCAACCAACACAUCACUCCUAAAUAUUUGCCUAAACCCGGUAGAAUCUGCAUCCGCUUUCAAAAUUGAUAUAUUAUUAUUCCGAUUAAACCCGGUAGAAUUCACAUCGGAAACACCUCGAUUUGAACCUCGACAACGACCAACACCAACUCGGAAUAGCCCUCUUCUAUUUUAUUUUCAUCGGCUCGAAUUGUAAAAGAAACGCACAACGAAGAUAAGUUCGUACCAAAUUCGCAGACUCGUUACUGCUUCGAUCGUUUUCUGGCAGGGUUUACCUCAAACAUCAAGAAAAACGAAGAGAUUUAGGGGGUUUCGCGACUGGAUCUGUUAAGUCGACCACCUGGACAACAAUUCCGGCGAAAUUUUCACCACCGACCCUGUUCCUGACCGUUUUCAAACUAUUCUUGCCCGUUUCUCUCCUUCAACUAUUCGAAUCGACUUUGUUCGCGUGAAUCUCGUUCAUCAGCGUACUCCCCUUUCCCGUUGGUGGUCAUUUAUGCGUGUCUCUGUUGGGAAUCGAAAAAGGAAAAAGAAAAGAUGAAGUUAUGGUGGCCUCUUCUUUGUUACUGUGUGUGCCUGUAUCAAUGGAGAUGUUUGGUAUGAUAGGAAAAUGUUUUUCAAUUUUUUUUUGUUUGGUUGUAAUAAAAUAUUGAAAAAAUAUUUUUUAUAAUAAUUUAUUUAUCUUAAUUUGAGUGAAAAUGACUUCUUGAAGUCAUUUUUCAGAAAAUAACAAAUGUGGCCACCUCAUCCUUCUCCAAUAACACUUAUUNNNN